AGGCCAUGUCAGAUUCUUCUACCUCAACACUUGUGAUCUCAUGGAUACUACAUGUUGAUGGAUCGUCCAAUGCUGGAGACACCAGGGUUGGGUUGAUUUUUGCCAAUCUCGACGGUAUUGUAGCAUAGUAAGCCUUUUGUUUUAGCUUCAAGAGUUCAAAUAAUGAAGUAGAGUACAAAGCACUCUUGGUCAGGCUAAGGCUUGCUCGAAAGCUUGGAGUUCCGCACCUUUAGGUCCUUUGUAACUCUCAACUAGUGGUUGGCCAGAUUUGAAGAGAGUAUGAGGCGAAGACACCCUCCAGGGG
This 304-nucleotide long non-coding RNA is filed under the name Elaeis guineensis (African oil palm). Its description in RNAcentral is "long non-coding RNA (EGUI_LNC060082)". The record is from RNAcentral. Lineage: Eukaryota; Viridiplantae; Streptophyta; Magnoliopsida; Arecales; Arecaceae.